This 484-nucleotide ribosomal RNA is filed under the name uncultured bacterium. Its description in RNAcentral is "bacterial SSU rRNA". It matches the Rfam family "Bacterial small subunit ribosomal RNA", at positions 30 to 507 of the family's 1533-position model. The record is from RNAcentral.
AUUGAACGCUGGCGGCAUGCUUUACACAUGCAAGUCGAACGGCAGCACGGGUGCUUGCACUGGUGGCGAGUGGCGGACGGGUGAGUAAUGCAUCGGAACGUGUCCUGAAGUGGGGGAUAACGCAUCGAAAGAUGUGCUAAUACCGCAUAUUCUCUGAGGAGGAAAGUAGGGGAUCGAAAGACCUUAUGCUUUUGGAGCGGCCGAUGUCUGAUUAGCUAGUUGGUAGGGUAAUGGCUUACCAAGGCGACGAUCAGUAGUUGGUCUGAGAGGACGACCAGCCACACUGGGACUGAGACACGGCCCAGACUCCUACGGGAGGCAGCAGUGGGAAUUUUGGACAAUGGGCGCAAGCCUGAUCCAGCAAUGCCGCGUGAGUGAAGAAGGCCUUCGGGUUGUAAAGCUCUUUCAGUUGAGAAGAAAAAGUCGCGACUAAUAAUCAUGAUUCAUGACGGUAUCAACAGAAGAAGCACCGGCUAACUACGUG